Molecule: ribosomal RNA, 434 nt
Filed under: uncultured Lachnospiraceae bacterium
Lineage: Bacteria; Bacillati; Bacillota; Clostridia; Lachnospirales; Lachnospiraceae
Description: partial 16S ribosomal RNA
Rfam family: Bacterial small subunit ribosomal RNA
Source: RNAcentral
ACGGGAGGCAGCAGUGGGGGAUAUUGGACAAUGGAGGAAGCUCUGAUGCAGCGACGCCGCGUGAGUGAAGAAGUAUUUCGGUAUGUAAAGCUCUAUCAGCAGGGAAGAUAAUGACGGUACCUGACUAAGAAGCCCCGGCUAACUACGUGCCAGCAGCCGCGGUAAUACGUAGGGGGCAAGCGUUAUCCGGAUUUACUGGGUGUAAAGGGAGCGUAGGUGGUUUGGCAAGUCAGAAGUGAAAUGCAGGGGCUCAACUCCUGAACUGCUUUUGAAACUGUCAGACUAGAGUGCUGGAGAGGUAAGUGGAAUUCCUAGUGUAGCGGUGAAAUGCGUAGAUAUUAGGAGGAACACCAGUGGCGAAGGCGGCUUACUGGACAGUAACUGACACUAAUGCUCGAAAGCGUGGGGAGCAAACAGGAUUAGAUACCCUGGUA